CACGAGAAAUCGGGGCUAAUACCGGAUGUGUCAUCGGACCGCAUGGUCCGCUGAUGAAAGGCGCUCCGGCGUCGCCCAUGGAUGGCUUUGCGGUGCAUUAGCUAGUUGGUGGGGUAACGGCCCACCAAGGCGACGAUGCAUAGCCGACCUGAGAGGGUGAUCGGCCACACUGGGACUGAGACACGGCCCAGACUCCUACGGGAGGCAGCAGUAGGGAAUCUUCCACAAUGGACGAAAGUCUGAUGGAGCAACGCCGCGUGAACGAUGAAGGCUUUCGGGUCGUAAAGUUCUGUUGUAAGGGAACAACAAGUGCCGCAGGCAAUGGCGGCACCUUGACCGUACCUUGCGAGAAACCCACGGCUAACUACUUGCCAGCAACC
This 380-nucleotide ribosomal RNA is filed under the name Exiguobacterium sp. LEY03. RNAcentral describes it as "bacterial SSU rRNA". It matches the Rfam family "Bacterial small subunit ribosomal RNA", at positions 148 to 516 of the family's 1533-position model. The record is from RNAcentral. Lineage: Bacteria; Bacillati; Bacillota; Bacilli; Caryophanales.